UUUUAAAUUCCCUCUUCCUCUUCCAUCUCCCACGACAUCACGAUCUUCUCACCGCCCCUUUCCCUCCUUUAUACCUUUAUUGCAUUUGCUUACAUUCUCUCUUUAUUCCACUCCAAAUAUUAUUUCAUUCCUCCAAAGCAAACGGAGAUCGAUCCCUUCUCUAUUUGUCUCACUCAGCCAACGAGUCCUGCUGAUUUUAAGUUUUGGUGCUUGUCAUGGUGGCCAACGGUCUUUUUUAGGGAAUUUACAAUUAUGAAUUUUUUUAACAAUGCGGAGCAGCUCUUAUUUGCAAGCAUUUCUCUGUCUUCCUGAUUCCAGAGUUGGAACGACAUGGCAAAACUUGCGACUCUUGGGCGCAGUGGAUUUCUUAGGCACUCAAAUGGAAGUUUGAGACUUAUUAUAACGACGACCAUUGGCGUCGUGGUUGGCUUCUUCAU
Molecule: long non-coding RNA, 437 nt
Organism: Asparagus officinalis (garden asparagus)
Lineage: Eukaryota; Viridiplantae; Streptophyta; Magnoliopsida; Asparagales; Asparagaceae
Exons: 3
Source: RefSeq, a predicted model, not a curated record